Molecule: ribosomal RNA, 464 nt
Filed under: uncultured bacterium
Lineage: Bacteria
Description: partial 16S ribosomal RNA
Rfam family: Bacterial small subunit ribosomal RNA
Source: RNAcentral
CUACGGGGGGCAACAGUGGGGAAUAUUGCACAAUGGGCGCAAGCCUGAUGCAGCCAUGCCGCGUGUAUGAAGAAGGCCUUCGGGUUGUAAAGUACUUUCAGCGGGGAGGAAGGGAGUAAAGUUAAUACCUUUGCUCAUUGACGUUACCCGCAGAAGAAGCACCGGCUAACGCCGCGCCAGCAGCCGCGGUAAUACGGAGGGUGCAAGCGUUAAUCGGAAUUACUGGGCGUAAAGCGCACGCAGGCGGUUUGUUAAGUCAGAUGUGAAAUCCCCGGGCUCAACCUGGGAACUGCAUCUGAUACUGGCAAGCUUGAGUCUCGUAGAGGGGGGUAGAAUUCCAGGUGUAGCGGUGAAAUGCGUAGAGAUCUGGAGGAAUACCGGUGGCGAAGGCGGCCCCCUGGACGAAGACUGACGCUCAGGUGCGAAAGCGUGGGGAGCAAACAGGAUUAGAUACCCGCGUAGUC